GACGAACGCUGGCGGCGUGCCUAACACAUGCAAGUCGAACGGAAAGGCCCGGCUUUUGUGCGGUGCUCGAGUGGCGAAGGGGUGAGUAACACGUGAGUAACCUGCCCCUGACUUUGGGAUAACUUCAGGAAACUGGGGCUCAUAUCGGAUAGGAUCUCUUGCUGCAUGGUGGGCGUUGGAAAGUUUCGGUGGUUGGGUAUGGAUUGGCGGCUUAUGAGCUGGAUGGUGGGGUAGUGGCUUACCAAGGCUUUGAGGGGUAGCCGGCCUGGGAGGGUGACCGGCCACCUUGGGACUGCGAUACGGACCAGACUCGAAUCGGAGGCAAUGGUGGAGAAUAUUGCAGAGUGGCCGGGAGCCAGAUGUAACAACGCCGGGUGCGGGAUGCCGUGCUUCGGGUUGUAAACCGAUUUGGACUGUGACGAGGCGUUAGUGACGGUAAUGGGUAAAGAAGCACCGGCUAACUACGUG
RNAcentral lists this ribosomal RNA (468 nucleotides) under uncultured bacterium. Its description in RNAcentral is "partial 16S ribosomal RNA". It matches the Rfam family "Bacterial small subunit ribosomal RNA", at positions 28 to 507 of the family's 1533-position model. The record is from RNAcentral.